GAUGAACGCUGGCGGCGUGCCUAAUACAUGCAAGUCGAACGAGGUGCCUUUGUAGCAAUACGAAGGUAUCCUAGUGGCGAACGGGUGAGUAACGCGUUGGUGACCUACCCCAAAGUGUGGGAUAACAGAUCGAAAGAUCUGCUAAUACCGCAUGUGGUCUUCGGAUUUAGAAACUGAUGACUAAAGGAGCAAUUCGCUUUGGGAGGGACCUGCGUCCCAUCAGCUAGUUGGUGAGGUAAUGGCUCACCAAGGCUACGACGGGUAGGGGACCUGAGAGGGUGGCCCCCCACAAUGGAACUGAAACACGGUCCAUACACCUACGGGUGGCAGCAGUAGGGAAUAUUGCACAAUGGGCGAAAGCCUGAUACAGCAACGCCGCGUGUGCGAUGAAGGCCUUCGGGUCGUAAAGCACUUUUCUGAGGGAUGAGCAAGGACAGUACCUCAGGAAUAAGUCUCGGCUAACUACGUGCCAGCAGCCGCGGUAAU
This 486-nucleotide ribosomal RNA is filed under the name uncultured bacterium. RNAcentral's name for it is "bacterial SSU rRNA". It matches the Rfam family "Bacterial small subunit ribosomal RNA", at positions 28 to 524 of the family's 1533-position model. The record is from RNAcentral.